UACGGGGGGGGCAAGCGUUGUUCGGAAUUACUGGGCGUAAAGGGCUCGUAGGCUGCCAACUAAGUCAGACGUGAAAUCCCUCGGCUUAACCGGGGAACUGCGUCUGAUACUGGAUGGCUUGAGAUCGGGAGAGGGAUGCGGAAUUCCAGGUGUAGCGGUGAAAUGCGUAGAUAUCUGGAGGAACACCGGUGGCGAAGGCGGCAUCCUGGACCGGCAUUGACGCUGAGGCGCGAAAGCUAGGGGAGCAAACGGG
This 253-nucleotide ribosomal RNA is filed under the name uncultured bacterium. Its description in RNAcentral is "partial 16S ribosomal RNA". It matches the Rfam family "Bacterial small subunit ribosomal RNA", at positions 524 to 776 of the family's 1533-position model. The record is from RNAcentral.